GCCCAGCACUGAAUCCUGACGUGUAAACGCACGAUGGAAAUGUAGUGUGUGGGAGGAUCUGUACAAGCCGGCGGGGACCUCGUUCAAGUCCGUCUUGAAAGCGGCCACAGCCCACAGAGGGUGCCAGGCCCGUACGACGAUGGUGGAUCCCGCCGGCAUGGGUCUCUCCCUGGAGUCGAGUUGCUUGAGAGUGCAGCUCUAAGUGGGAGGUAAACUCCUUCUAAGGCUAAAUAUGACCACAAGACCGAUAGCGAACAAGUACCGUGAGGGAAAGUUGAAAAGCACUUUGAAGAGAGAGUUCAAGAGUACGUGAAACCGUUCAGGGGUAAACGAAUGAUAUCUGGAAAAUCGAAGCGAGAGAUUCAAACCGCGGGUCGCGCGUUCAUGCGGCGGUCCCCGAUCAUCUGAGUUCCCCCGCGCGUUGCAGCAAUGCUCGCCGGUGCGGAUACGCAGCGUGCACGGGCGAUCGUCACUGGCGCCGGCGUCGGUCUGCACUUUUCUCGUGGUAGUACGCCGCGACUCGUUGGGUGCUCGGCUAAGGCCCACGCGGGAGCCGGCACUAGUUGCGCGCUUUUAGCGUGCACACGGAGCCGACCGCGAGGUGACCCGGCGAGCUCGCCCGACGGUGUAUAAGCGAUACGACAAGAGUUGGGUGCCUCGCACUCGAUGGCUUUGAUUAGCACGUUCUCGCGUCAGCGGCGCUCCAUUCAGAGCCCAUUCGACCCGUCUUGAAACACGGACCAAGGAGUCUAACAUGUACGCGAGUCAUUGGGAACCACUAAACCUAAAGGCGAAAUGAAAGUGAAUGCCGGCCGCUUCGGCGGUCGGCAGAGGAGUGAUGCCGCGCCUUUGAAUUGAAUUUCUUUACACAAGCCGGCCGCAACUCCGGGGCGUCUCGUUGUCAUCGCGACACAGUAGGCGCACCUAGAGCGUACACGUUGGGACCCGAAAGAUGGUGAACUAUGCCUGGCCAGGUCGAAGUCAGGGGAAACCCUGAUGGAGGACCGUAGCGAUUCUGACGUGCAAAUCGAU
Molecule: ribosomal RNA, 1032 nt
Filed under: Protonemura intricata
Lineage: Eukaryota; Metazoa; Arthropoda; Insecta; Plecoptera; Nemouridae
Description: LSU rRNA
Rfam family: Eukaryotic large subunit ribosomal RNA
Source: RNAcentral